RNAcentral lists this ribosomal RNA (1442 nucleotides) under metagenome. RNAcentral's name for it is "bacterial SSU rRNA". It matches the Rfam family "Bacterial small subunit ribosomal RNA". The record is from RNAcentral.
AGAGUUUGAUCCUGGCUCAGGAUGAACGCUGGCGGCGUGCUUAACACAUGCAAGUCGAACGAGCCUUCGGGCUAGUGGCGGACGGGUGAGUAACGCGUGAGAAUCUGCCCUCAGGAGGGGGAUAACGGCUGGAAACGGCCGCUAAUACCCCAUAUGCCGCGAGGUGAAAUGAGAAAUCGCCUGAGGAUGAGCUCGCGUCUGAUUAGCUAGUUGGUGGGGUAAGAGCCUACCAAGGCAUCGAUCAGUAGCUGGUCUGAGAGGAUGAUCAGCCACACUGGGACUGAGACACGGCCCAGACUCCUACGGGAGGCAGCAGUGGGGAAUUUUCCGCAAUGGGCGCAAGCCUGACGGAGCAACGCCGCGUGAGGGAUGAAGGCCUCUGGGCUGUAAACCUCUUUUCUCAAGGAAGAAGAACUGACGGUACUUGAGGAAUAAGCCACGGCUAAUUCCGUGCCAGCAGCCGCGGUAAUACGGGAGUGGCAAGCGUUAUCCGGAAUUAUUGGGCGUAAAGCGUCCGCAGGCGGUCUUGAAAGUCUGUUGUUAAAGCGUGGAGCUCAACUCCAUUUCAGCAAUGGAAACUAGAAGACUAGAGUGUGGUAGGGGCAGAGGGAAUUCCCGGUGUAGCGGUGAAAUGCGUAGAUAUCGGGAAGAACACCAGUGGCGAAGGCGCUCUGCUGGGCCAUAACUGACGCUCAUGGACGAAAGCCAGGGGAGCGAAAGGGAUUAGAUACCCCUGUAGUCCUGGCCGCAAACGAUGAACACUAGGUGUCGGGGGAAUCGACCCCCUCGGUGUCGUAGCCAGCGCGUUAAGUGUUCCGCCUGGGGAGUACGCACGCAAGUGUGAAACUCAAAGGAAUUGACGGGGGCCCGCACAAGCGGUGGAGUAUGUGGUUUAAUUCGAUGCAACGCGAAGAACCUUACCAGGGUUUGACAUCCUGCGAAUCUUUUGGAAACAGAAGAGUGCCUUCGGGAGCGCAGAGACAGGUGGUGCAUGGCUGUCGUCAGCUCGUGUCGUGAGAUGUUGGGUUAAGUCCCGCAACGAGCGCAACCCACGUCUUUAGUUGCCAGCAUUGAGUUGGGCACUCUAGAGAGACCGCCGGUGAUAAACCGGAGGAAGGUGUGGAUGACGUCAAGUCAUCAUGCCCCUUACAUCCUGGGCUACACACGUACUACAAUGCUACGGACAGAGGGCAGCAAACUCGCGAGAGCUAGCAAAUCCCAUAAACCGUGGCUCAGUUCAGAUCGUAGGCUGCAACUCGCCUACGUGAAGGAGGAAUCGCUAGUAAUCGCAGGUCAGCAUACUGCGGUGAAUACGUUCCCGGGCCUUGUACACACCGCCCGUCACACCAUGGAAGUUGGCCAUGCCCGAAGUCGUUACUCCAACCCUUGUGGAGGAGGACGCCGAAGGUGGGGCUGAUGACUGGGGUGAAGUCAACAAGGUA